This is a long non-coding RNA of Podarcis raffonei (Aeolian wall lizard), 236 nucleotides long. RefSeq lists it as uncharacterized. Lineage: Eukaryota; Metazoa; Chordata; Lepidosauria; Squamata; Lacertidae. The record is from RefSeq and is a predicted model, not a curated record. The transcript is spliced from 2 exons.
GACACAUAAGAAAUGGGUAGAAAAGAUUCUUCUUCUUCAAGAGCUCCUGUUGAGCAGUACAGAAAACAAAUAGAGCAACACAGUAGCUUUCGGUGCUGCAUGUGGAUCCAAAGAAAAGCUACAGAUCCCAACCUCAAGCUUAUGCUCUAGAAAUGAUAAUAAUCAACAAACACGGCAAAUCAACAGAAAGUUAGGGGGGGGGGAGAUGAGUUUGAGAAUGCCAGAGUUGAAAAAGG